GGGGAUGCCUGGUUUCGACAGGGAAUGGACACCGUAGAUUGCAAGCCGAGCCGCCCAGUCUCGUUAAAGGGGCAAAAUGCAGUAAAUGCGAACAACACUUUUCGGGCUCAAUCACCAACGAUGGCCCUUGCUGCUUAAUAAAGCAGCACGCUUCCCUGCAUGUUCCUGACCGUGGAGGAAUAAGCGUCGAUUAGUCGGGUGCCUUUUGUGUACAUGCUUGCUAACACGAAAGUAAGAUAAGCAGGCUCGCUCACGGGUAACGUUGUUUGUUGCGUAACCCGGAGUAAAAACAACAACAAACUAAGCUUGUAGCAUGUUUGCGGUUAUGUUUUCUGGACGGGGGUUCGAAUCCCCCCAUCUCCACCA
RNAcentral lists this transfer-messenger RNA (366 nucleotides) under Chloroflexaceae (filamentous anoxygenic phototrophic bacteria). Its description in RNAcentral is "JAAURD01 sp012034075 Standard tmRNA". It matches the Rfam family "transfer-messenger RNA". Rfam says of the family: Bacterial tmRNA, also known as 10Sa RNA or SsrA, is named for its dual tRNA and mRNA-like properties. RNAcentral also lists the same sequence under 1 other name. The record is from RNAcentral. Lineage: Bacteria; Bacillati; Chloroflexota; Chloroflexia; Chloroflexales.